UAAACGACUCUCGGCAACGGAUAUCUCGGCUCACGCAUCGAUGAAGAACGUAGCAAAAUGCGAUACUUGGUGUGAAUUGCAGAAUCCCGUGAACCAUCGAGUUUUUGAACGCAAGUUGCGCCCGAAGCCUUCUGGCUGAGGGCACGUUCUGCCUGGGCGUCACG
Molecule: ribosomal RNA, 164 nt
Filed under: Lasthenia californica subsp. macrantha
Lineage: Eukaryota; Viridiplantae; Streptophyta; Magnoliopsida; Asterales; Asteraceae
Description: 5.8S ribosomal RNA
Rfam family: 5.8S ribosomal RNA
About the family: 5.8S ribosomal RNA (5.8S rRNA) is a component of the large subunit of the eukaryotic ribosome.
Source: RNAcentral